GGAACAAAGGGACAUUCAACAUUGAACUUUAUUAAUAUUCCAUAUAAAGUUACAUAUGGGAAGAACCAUUUUCAUCAUAUCAGAUCCAAAAAGGAUAUAUACAACAAGGUCUUUCUAUAUUAAGGAAGGGAAAGUGAUAUUCUGCUCAAGAAAUAUAUCAAGCUCCUACGUACAAAAAAAUAUCAAGAACCACUUGGAGGCUACGUCUUCGUCAGUUACGAGAUUGCGUUAUUGGUUUCCUUCUAAUAAUAGCAAGUUGGAGAUUUCUUUAAAGUGAAGUGAGGUGGAAGAAGAGUAGUUUUUGACAUAGAAGAUCGUGGAGCAGAUACGAGUUGAGUACUUGAGCCGUUGAGCUAAGACCAGGUUCUGAUAAACAGCCAGAUAGACCUCCUCAGUAGACGAGACGAGAGAUCAGCUGACCGGUGAGCUCCAUUCUUUCUGGAGUUGCCAGGUCUACUCAGAGUCUUCUUUUGUAAUGUAUAUAUGUGAUGGGUAGGUCAAGACCCUGUCCCGACUAUGAUACAGUUGUGUACUCAGUAGAGGCUUGUAGACGUGUCUUGCAUAGUAGUAGAGUCUUGGCCUUGCCGGCCCUUUAUGUACUCAUUUUGGUGUUGUCGGACUGAUGACGACCUCGUCGGUCGGCAUAGCAGAUAUAUAUAUAUAUUGGCUUA
Lycium barbarum (goji berry) is the source of this 671-nucleotide long non-coding RNA. RefSeq lists it as uncharacterized. The transcript is spliced from 3 exons. Lineage: Eukaryota; Viridiplantae; Streptophyta; Magnoliopsida; Solanales; Solanaceae. The record is from RefSeq and is a predicted model, not a curated record.